AUGCGCUUGCCCACCGAAAGCCUCAAACUGAGGCUCCUCCUUCUCCACGGCAGGCGUUUCAGUACGCUCCUGGCGGAUUUCUUGGCCGCCAGUCACCUCCUGGCCCGCAGCGAUUUCCAGCGCCUUGAGCUUCAUGAGGUUGAUCAUGUUGAGCAGGCCGCUGUUCCGGGAGGGCGAGAGGCUCUGCCUGAUCCCGAGCAUCUCGAUGAACUCGACGGGCACCAUGGCGACGUCCCUGGCGGGCGCGCCGGAGAGGCCGAGCACGAGCAGCGCGGCGAGGCCCUUGGUGAGCUGCGCGUCGGAGUCGGCCUGGAAGCUGACGCAGCCGGGGGCCUCCGCCUCCGGCGCGGCGUGGACCCAGACCUGGGAGACGCAGCCCCGGACGCGGUUGGCGUCGGACUUGAGCGCCGGGUCCAUGGGCGGCAGGCGGGCGGCGUAGGCGAGGAGCUGCUUGUAGCGGGUGCGCUCGUCGGGCACGGACUGGAAGAGCGCGAUGAUGUCCCUGAGCGCCGGGGGGAGCUGCGCCGGGUCGACGGGGGCGGGGGCGGAGGAGGAGGUGGAGGGGGUCGGGGAGGCGGCGGACCUGGCGGCGAGGCGCUGGAAGGAGACGGGGCGGGAGAGGGUGAGGAGGUGGGGCCUGGACAGGAGCGGCCUGGAGAGGGGCGAGGAGGAGAGGAGGCGGAGCGGGGCGGAGGUGGCGGCCGCGGACGCCAUGGGUGGCGGCGGAGGAGGGGUGGCGAUUGGGGAAUCAGAGGUCGGGUUGGGUUUCUUCUCUUGCCCCGCGGCCGGAAAUUGGAGAGGCCAAUAGCUUUUCUUUCUCUCUUUGAUUUGAUUUUGUUCUUCUCCUGGAGAUGGAAGAAAAGGUCUAGGCCAUGGAAUCAAUCGACGUGGCUGUUCACGAAUGUGCGCGUGCGCAUGGAGACAGGCCCUUCAUGUUUUUUUUCUUUUUUUAGAAAUUGUUCAUUCAAAUCACGAAUCAGUACAGAGUAG
RNAcentral lists this ribosomal RNA (990 nucleotides) under Triticum aestivum (bread wheat). Its description in RNAcentral is "partial small subunit ribosomal RNA". Lineage: Eukaryota; Viridiplantae; Streptophyta; Magnoliopsida; Poales; Poaceae. The record is from RNAcentral.